Molecule: long non-coding RNA, 599 nt
Organism: Ictalurus punctatus (channel catfish)
Lineage: Eukaryota; Metazoa; Chordata; Actinopteri; Siluriformes; Ictaluridae
Source: Ensembl
AUGCUGAGUAUAUGUUUUGUAAAUUAAUUGGAAAAAUGUCAAUAUAGAAGAACAUAUUUAAUGCUCAGAUAUCUGAGAGGUUUUGAGAAAGAGGUAGAGGUGUAGAAAGAGGAGACAGAGGCAUAGAAAGAGGUGACAGGUGUAGAAAGAGGAGACAGAGGUGUAGAAAGAGGAGACAGGUGUGGAAAGAGGAGGUAGAGGCAUAGAAAGAGGAGGUAGAGGUGUAGAAAGAGGAGGUAGAGGUGUAGAAAGAGGAGACAGAGGUGUGGAAAGAGGAGAUAGAGGUGUAGAAAGAGGAGACAGAGGUGUAGAAAGAGGAGACAGAGGUGUAGAAAGAGGAGACAGGUGUGGAAAGAGGAGGUAGAGGAAUAGAAAGAGGAGGUAGAGGUGUGGAAAGAGGAGGUAGAGGUGUAGAAAGAGGAGACAGAGGUGUGGAAAGAGGAGGUAGAGGCGUAGAAAGAGGAGACCGAGGCAUAGAAAGAGGAGAUAGAGGUGUAGAAAGAGGAGACAAGAGGCGUAGAAAGAGGAGACCGAGGCAUAGAAAGAGGAGAUAGAGGUGUAGAAAGAGGAGGUAGUGAUUUAGGAGACUGUAGAAGUGA